Long non-coding RNA from Triticum aestivum (bread wheat), 616 nucleotides. RefSeq lists it as uncharacterized. The transcript has 3 exons. The record is from RefSeq and is a predicted model, not a curated record. Lineage: Eukaryota; Viridiplantae; Streptophyta; Magnoliopsida; Poales; Poaceae.
GCAGAUUUGCAAGGGCACCCCUCAACAGACCAGACGUGCGAAACCCACGUUCCCGAUCAUCAUGGCGACGGCCUGCGGCUAGAGACGAAGAACUCUCGUACGCCCUAAACUUUUCCACAAGACUGGAUCCUGGCUGCAGGCAUACACGCAAAGGUGCAGCAAUGGGAUCUACAAAUAUGUGGCAGAUGCACAUGAACGAGGAAGGAUUUAAUACACCCAUAAAGAAAGCAAGUGUUCCUCUCUGUUGCUCGUCCUUUAUACCUGAAUGUGAAGAUGAUUUGAAGCCUAAAGUGGGGAUGACAUUUGAAGGAUUGAAGGCUGUGGAGGAGUUCUACAAAUCUUAUGCACAUCAAUCUGGUUUUGGAGUUCGUAUUGGGCAACAGAAGAAGUUAGAAAAUGAGGUAGUUCGCACUAAACGAUACAUGUGUAAUAGACAAGGAUUCAAGUUUGAAAUGGUAACAAGAUUGAUGAUCCAUCAAAGAAGAGGCGUAAGAACACAGACACAAGGUGCGGUUGUGAUGCACACAUCUUUGAGUUGGAGGAAACAAUUCACUCUCUAUUGAUCAUCAAGUGUUACAUACAUGGUUUAUAUACACCGGGCGCUGCCCGAGUCAUG